This 253-nucleotide ribosomal RNA is filed under the name uncultured bacterium. Its description in RNAcentral is "partial 16S ribosomal RNA". It matches the Rfam family "Bacterial small subunit ribosomal RNA", at positions 524 to 776 of the family's 1533-position model. The record is from RNAcentral.
UACGAAGGGUGCAAGCGUUACUCGGAAUUACUGGGCGUAAAGCGUGCGUAGGCGGUUUGUUAAGUCUGUCGUGAAAGCCCUGGGCUCAACCUGGGAAUUGCAUUCGAGACUGCGUAGCUAGGGUGCGGAAGAGGGAAGCGGAAUUUCCGGUGUAGCGGUGAAAUGCGUAGAUAUCGGAAGGAACACCAGUGGCGAAAGCGGCUUCCUGGUCCAGCACCGACGUUCAGGCACGAAAGCGUGGGGAGCAAACAGG